UACGUAGGGGGCGAGCGUUGUCCGGAUUUAUUGGGCGUAAAACGCUUGUAGGUGGCUACGUCAAGUCGGACGUGAAAUCUCCCGGCUUAACUGGGAGGGGUCGCUCGAUACUGGCGAGCUCGAGGCAGGUAGGGGGAAGCGGAAUUCCCGGUGUAGUGGUGGAAUGCGUAGGUAUCGGGAGGAACACCAGUGGCGAAGGCGGCUUCCUGGACCUGUUCUGACACUGAGGAGCGAAAGCGUGGGGAGCGAUCCGG
This 254-nucleotide ribosomal RNA is filed under the name uncultured bacterium. RNAcentral's name for it is "partial 16S ribosomal RNA". It matches the Rfam family "Bacterial small subunit ribosomal RNA", at positions 524 to 776 of the family's 1533-position model. The record is from RNAcentral.